GACGAACGCUGGCGGCGUGCCUAAUACAUGCAAGUCGAGCGGAACUGGGGGAGCUUGCUCCUUCCAGUUUAGCGGCGGACGGGUGAGUAACACGUGGGCAACCUGCCCUGCAGAUCGGGAUAACUCCGGGAAACCGGUGCUAAUACCGAAUAGUUUGGCGCCUCUCCUGAGGCGCUACGGAAAGACGGUUUCGGCUGUCACUGCAGGAUGGGCCCGCGGCGCAUUGGCUAGUUGGUGGGGUAACGGCCCACCAAGGCGACGAUGCGUAGCCGACCUGAGAGGGUGACCGGCCACACGGGGACUGAGACACGGCCCAGACUCCUAUGGGAGGCAGCAGUAGGGAAUCUUCCGCAAUGGGCGCAAGUCUGACGGAGCAACGCCGCGUGAGUGACGAAGGUUUUCGGAUCGUAAAACUCUGUUGUGAGGGAAGAACACGUACCAACUAACUAUUGGUACCUUGACGGUACCUCACCAGAAAGCCACGGCUAACUACGUGCCAGCCGCCGCGGUAA
Molecule: ribosomal RNA, 512 nt
Filed under: uncultured bacterium
Lineage: Bacteria
Description: partial 16S ribosomal RNA
Rfam family: Bacterial small subunit ribosomal RNA
Source: RNAcentral